AGAGUCCUGAAAUGUACGUUGUGUUACCUGAAGUUUUGACCGAACAUUGUUUAUUUGGGAGUCCGGAGUUUUCUGAAUGCGUAAAUGCCCCACUCCAUUGCGAGUAAGGGGACUUACAAUAACAGGAAUAGGACACCCCCCUGCUGAGUGCGGGAUCAAAACGAAGGAUCAAAAAGCGACGGCACCAUUGGGACUCUU
RNAcentral lists this non-coding RNA (198 nucleotides) under Bacillus sp. FJAT-29953. Its description in RNAcentral is "6S RNA". It matches the Rfam family "6S / SsrS RNA". Rfam says of the family: E. coli 6S RNA was the first non coding RNA to be sequenced, but its function was unknown until recently. Lineage: Bacteria; Bacillati; Bacillota; Bacilli; Caryophanales; Bacillaceae. RNAcentral also lists the same sequence under 1 other name. The record is from RNAcentral.